This 799-nucleotide ribosomal RNA is filed under the name Streptomyces sp. D108. RNAcentral describes it as "bacterial SSU rRNA". It matches the Rfam family "Bacterial small subunit ribosomal RNA", at positions 39 to 854 of the family's 1533-position model. Lineage: Bacteria; Bacillati; Actinomycetota; Actinomycetes; Kitasatosporales; Streptomycetaceae. The record is from RNAcentral.
GCGGCUGCUUACACAUGCAGUCGAACGAUGAACCGCUUUCGGGCGGGGAUUAGUGGCGAACGGGUGAGUAACACGUGGGCAAUCUGCCCUGCACUCUGGGACAAGCCCUGGAAACGGGGUCUAAUACCGGAUAUGACCGUCUGCCGCAUGGUGGAUGGUGUAAAGCUCCGGCGGUGCAGGAUGAGCCCGCGGCCUAUCAGCUUGUUGGUGAGGUAGUGGCUCACCAAGGCGACGACGGGUAGCCGGCCUGAGAGGGCGACCGGCCACACUGGGACUGAGACACGGCCCAGACUCCUACGGGAGGCAGCAGUGGGGAAUAUUGCACAAUGGGCGAAAGCCUGAUGCAGCGACGCCGCGUGAGGGAUGACGGCCUUCGGGUUGUAAACCUCUUUCAGCAGGGAAGAAGCGAAAGUGACGGUACCUGCAGAAGAAGCGCCGGCUAACUACGUGCCAGCAGCCGCGGUAAUACGUAGGGCGCAAGCGUUGUCCGGAAUUAUUGGGCGUAAAGAGCUCGUAGGCGGCUUGUCACGUCGGUUGUGAAAGCCCGGGGCUUAACCCCGGGUCUGCAGUCGAUACGGGCAGGCUAGAGUUCGGUAGGGGAGAUCGGAAUUCCUGGUGUAGCGGUGAAAUGCGCAGAUAUCAGGAGGAACACCGGUGGCGAAGGCGGAUCUCUGGGCCGAUACUGACGCUGAGGAGCGAAAGCGUGGGGAGCGAACAGGAUUAGAUACCCUGGUAGUCCACGCCGUAAACGGUGGGCACUAGGUGUGGGCAACAUUCCACGUUGUCCGUGCCGCAGCUA